UACGUAGGUGGCAAGCGUUGUCCGGAAUUAUUGGGCGUAAAGCGCGCGCAGGCGGCCUUUUAAGUCUGAUGUGAAAGCCCACGGCUCAACCGUGGAAGGUCAUUGGAAACUGAAAGGCUUGAGUACAGAAGAGGAAAGCGGAAUUCCACGUGUAGCGGCGAAAUGCGUAGAGAUGUGGAGGAACACCAGUGGCGAAGGCGGCUUUCUGGUCUGUAACUGACGCUGAGGCGCGAAAGCGUGGGGAGCAAACAGG
This 253-nucleotide ribosomal RNA is filed under the name uncultured bacterium. RNAcentral's name for it is "partial 16S ribosomal RNA". It matches the Rfam family "Bacterial small subunit ribosomal RNA", at positions 524 to 776 of the family's 1533-position model. The record is from RNAcentral.